This is a long non-coding RNA of Contarinia nasturtii (swede midge), 526 nucleotides long. RefSeq lists it as uncharacterized. The transcript is spliced from 3 exons. The record is from RefSeq and is a predicted model, not a curated record. Lineage: Eukaryota; Metazoa; Arthropoda; Insecta; Diptera; Cecidomyiidae.
AAUUCGCUUACGAAAAUUUUAUAAAAAGAUAUUCCGGUUCGGCAAAAAGAAACAAAAACAGAUACACAGCAAAAGAUAGUAAACAGAAUCGUAUUUCAUUUCUGAUCAUGUUUAGUUGGAUUUUUUUCGGCGUAUUUGUAGUGUCGGUGCUGUUUGGCGCCGAAUCGGAGCCUCUGAUGCGAAAGUAAUUUCAUUCGACAUCAAACCGUCAGAGAAUUUUAAUCGUUUUCUACACAAAGUUGAAUGUGAAAAGAGAGAAAUAGCGCACAGUGUGUAUUUCAUACAGAUUGAUUCAAUAAAAGGGAAUGAAGUUUAACUAAAAGUUCGAUCUAAGAAAAUAUCAAGUGAUCACGACCACAAUGCCAUCUCAAAGCUGUGAUGAAGUACUCCUGAUUGAAUCGGAUGACACAGAACCAAUCACACUUGAAAGAUUAAUACGUAAUUUACCAUCAACAAAAUCAACCCAGUCAUUACAUAGACAAGAACGAGAGUUAUAUCAUUAUGUAGUUUGUUGUUAUGGCAUUAA